UGCCUACCAUGCAGUCGAACGGUAGCACAGAGAGCUUGCUCCGGUGACGAGUGGCGGACGGGUGAGUAAUGUCUGGGAAACUGCCUGAUGGAGGGGGAUAACUCGGAAACGGUAGCUAAUACCGCAUAACGUCGCAAGACCAAAGAGGGGGACCUUCGGGCCUCUUGCCAUCAGAUGUGCCCAGAUGGGAUUAGCUAGUAGGUGGGGUAACGGCUCACCUAGGCGACGAUCCCUAGCUGGUCUGAGAGGAUGACCAGCCACACUGGAACUGAGACACGGUCCAGACUCCUACGGGAGGCAGCAGUGGGGAAUAUUGCACAAUGGGCGCAAGCCUGAUGCAGCCAUGCCGCGUGUAUGAAGAAGGCCUUCGGGUUGUAAAGUACUUUCAGCGGGGAGGAAGGUAGGUUAAUAACCUURUAUUGACGUUACCCGCAGAAGAAGCACCGGCUAACUCCGUGCCAGCAGCCGCGGUAAUACGGAGGGUGCAAGCGUUAAUCGGAAUUACUGGGCGUAAAGCGCACGCAGGCGGUCUGUCAAGUCGGAUGUGAAAUCCCCGGGCUCAACCUGGGAACUGCAUUCGAAACUGGCAGGCUGGAGUCUUGUAGAGGGGGGUAGAAUUCCAGGUGUAGCGGUGAAAUGCGUAGAGAUCUGGAGGAAUACCGGUGGCGAAAGCGGCCCCCUGGACAAAGACUGACGCUCAGGUGCGAAAGCGUGGGAGCAACAGGAUUAGAUACCCCUGGGUAGUUCCCCACGGCCCU
RNAcentral lists this ribosomal RNA (758 nucleotides) under Klebsiella sp. Its description in RNAcentral is "bacterial SSU rRNA". It matches the Rfam family "Bacterial small subunit ribosomal RNA", at positions 45 to 803 of the family's 1533-position model. Lineage: Bacteria; Pseudomonadati; Pseudomonadota; Gammaproteobacteria; Enterobacterales; Enterobacteriaceae. The record is from RNAcentral.